This is a non-coding RNA of Phyllosticta capitalensis, 124 nucleotides long. The record is from the annotation of a GenBank genome assembly. Lineage: Eukaryota; Fungi; Ascomycota; Dothideomycetes; Botryosphaeriales; Phyllostictaceae.
GGGAGGUUGGCCGAGUGGUUAUGGCGCUAGUUUCAGGACAUCUUCUCCGACGAACGAGUUCCGAUCUAAGGGAUACCUACUACUAGUUGGGUAACCUUCGUGGGUUCGAGUCCCACACCUCUCA